This 92-nucleotide transfer RNA is filed under the name Aquisphaera giovannonii. RNAcentral's name for it is "tRNA-Pro". Lineage: Bacteria; Pseudomonadati; Planctomycetota; Planctomycetia; Isosphaerales; Isosphaeraceae. The record is from RNAcentral.
UCCACGCGAUGGUCGAGGUCGGCGAGGACGUGCUCGGCCCGCGUCGGCGAGAUCCGAUUGGAUCUAUUGGCGCUCGGCGCCGCGAGUGGGGC